AAACCACCGACAGACACACAGGAAACACGAGGCGGGAUGUCACGACGGGAUCACUUGGCUGGAGAAAAAGAAGGUCAGCCUGGUGUAAUUAAUAACCAGGUGGAAGAGAGGAGAGGAGGGAAGAGAAAAUGAGAGACGGAGGAGAGACGGAGGAGAGACAGCGGAGAGACAGCG
This is a long non-coding RNA of Portunus trituberculatus (swimming crab), 174 nucleotides long. RefSeq lists it as uncharacterized. The transcript is spliced from 2 exons. Lineage: Eukaryota; Metazoa; Arthropoda; Malacostraca; Decapoda; Portunidae. The record is from RefSeq and is a predicted model, not a curated record.